This 492-nucleotide ribosomal RNA is filed under the name uncultured bacterium. RNAcentral's name for it is "partial 16S ribosomal RNA". It matches the Rfam family "Bacterial small subunit ribosomal RNA", at positions 29 to 507 of the family's 1533-position model. The record is from RNAcentral.
AGUAAACGCUGGCGGUAGGCCUAACACAUGCAAGUCGAACGGCAGCACAUGUAUAGCUUGCUCUUACGGGUGGCGAGUGGUGGACGGGUGAGGAAUACAUCGGAAUCUAUUUGUGCGUGGGUGAUUACGUAGGGAAACUUACGCUAAUACCGCAUAUGUCCUGCGGGUGAAAGCAGGGGAUCUUCGGUCCGUUUGUUCGUGAAUGAGUCGAUGUCGGAUUAGCUAGUUGGCGGGGUAAAGGCCCACCAAGGCGACGAUCCGUAGCUGGUCUGAGAGGAUGAUCAGCCACACUGGAACUGAGACACGGUCCAGACUCCUACGGGAGCACGCAGUGGGCACACUUGGACAAUGGGCGCAAGCCUGAUCCAGCCAUACCGCGUGGGAGAAGAAGGAAUUCGGGUUGUAAAGCCCUUUUGUUGGGAAAGACAAAAAACAGGUUAAUACCCCGCUGUUCUGACGGUACCCAAAGAAUAAGCACCGGCUAACUUCGUG